ACGAACGCUGGCGGCGUGCUUAACACAUGCAAGUCGAACGGAAAGGCCCUGCUUUUGUGGGGUGCUCGAGUGGCGAACGGGUGAGUAACACGUGAGUAACCUGCCCUUGACUUUGGGAUGACUUCAGGAAACUGGGGCUAAUACCGGAUAGGAGCUCCUGCUGCAUGGUGGGGGUUGGAAAGUUUCGGCGGUUGGGGAUGGACUCGCGGCUUAUCAGCUUGUUGGUGGGGUAGUGGCUUACCAAGGCUUUGACGGGUAGCCGGCCUGAGAGGGUGACCGGCCACAUUGGGACUUGAGAUACGGCCCAGACUCCUACGGGAGGCAGCAGUGGGGAAUAUUGCACAAUGGGCGGAAGCCUGAUGCAGCAACGCCGCGUGCGGGAUGACGGCCUUCGGGUUGUAAACCGCUUUCGCCUGUGACGAAGCGUGAGUGACGGUAAUGGGUAAAGAAGCACCGGCUAACUACGUG
RNAcentral lists this ribosomal RNA (468 nucleotides) under uncultured bacterium. RNAcentral describes it as "partial 16S ribosomal RNA". It matches the Rfam family "Bacterial small subunit ribosomal RNA", at positions 29 to 507 of the family's 1533-position model. The record is from RNAcentral.